RNAcentral lists this ribosomal RNA (445 nucleotides) under uncultured bacterium. RNAcentral describes it as "bacterial SSU rRNA". It matches the Rfam family "Bacterial small subunit ribosomal RNA", at positions 331 to 792 of the family's 1533-position model. The record is from RNAcentral.
CCAGACUCCUACGGGAGGCAGCAGUGGGGAAUAUUGCACAAUGGGGGAAACCCUGAUGCAGCAACGCCGCGUGAAGGAAGACGGUUUUCGGAUUGUAAACUUCUGUUCUUAGUGAAGAAGAAUGACGGUAGCUAAGGAGCAAGCCACGGCUAACUACGUGCCAGCAGCCGCGGUAAUACGUAGGUGGCAAGCGUUGUCCGGAUUUACUGGGUGUAAAGGGCGUGCAGCCGGGCCGACAAGUCAGAUGUGAAAUCCGCGGGCUUAACCCGCGAACUGCAUUUGAAACUAUUGGUCUUGAGUACCGGAGAGGUCAUCGGAAUUCCUUGUGUAGCGGUGAAAUGCGUAGAUAUAAGGAAGAACACCAGUGGCGAAGGCGGAUGACUGGACGGCAACUGACGGUGAGGCGCGAAAGCGUGGGGAGCAAACAGGAUUAGAUACCCCCGUA